Molecule: long non-coding RNA, 5745 nt
Organism: Amblyraja radiata (thorny skate)
Lineage: Eukaryota; Metazoa; Chordata; Chondrichthyes; Rajiformes; Rajidae
Exons: 2
Source: RefSeq, a predicted model, not a curated record
AGAAGGGUCUCGACCACAAACGUCACCCAAUCCUUCUCUCCAGAGAUGCUGCCUGUCCUGCUGAGUUACUCCAGCAUUUUGUGUUUAUCCUGUAUUUAAGGCUGUUAGGGUCCCUGGUACAGUCACAUCACCACUAGAACAGUCCCAAUGCCCCAGUACGACAGAGAGGGAGGAAAUCUGCACCUUGCCCCUGACCAGUGACGCCAGGGACCCACAUAUAACUCUUUAUAUUGAUAUUGAUUCUAACUCUACUAUCGAUUAAACUCAGCUCAACUCAGUCCAAGAAUUAAUCUCCAUUUCAUGUAGACUCUUUCACAACUUAAUUCCACCAAUUACAGUGUGCUGUAUGAAGCUAAUGUUUAAAAUAAAAGCAGAAAGUGCUGAAACUACUGAAGUUCAGCAGCUUUCUCUGGAAAGAGAAACAGAAGUAAGUCUUCACUUGCCCUUAAGUGUAGACUAUCAUUUCACACUGUUUUCUCCUCCACAUAUGCUGCCCGACCUGCUGCCUAUUUCCAGCAAUCGGGUUUUAUUUCAGAUUUCCAACAGUUUUUUAUUUUUUGAGAUUAAAGAAGAGACUCAAGUCAACCGAGGGUUCUUCUAAUUAGUCACUAGGAACUGCAGAUGCAGGUUUUACAAAAAAGGGACACAAAGUGCCGGAGUAACACAACGGGUUAGGCAGCAUCUCUGGGAACUAUGGAUAGGUGUCAUUUUGGGUCAUGGCCCUUCUUUGGUGGGCGGGGGGGAAAGCUGGAAAAGAGGUGAGGACAGGACAAAGCCUGGAUUUCUCUCCCCUAGUACAAUCAGUCUUAAGGGUCCUCACGUGAAGCAAUACCCAUCUGCAUUUGGAAGCUGCCUGGCCCGCUGAGUUACUCUAGUACUGUGUUUUUUUUCAAUUAGAAAUGGGGAGGAGGGGAUGGGUAUGUGUGCAUAUGUGGGGAAUAGGUGGCUGCGUAGGUUGAUCGUGCAAUAGCUGUGUGUGCCUGCGGCUGGUUGAAUGAGUGGGUGAGCGCCGUGAUGGCCACUGCAUGUAAUCUGAACUUGUUCACUCACUCAUUCAUCAUUUGGCCAGGCCAACGGCGAAUGUCUUGGGCAGCACCACUGCAACGUUGAGCACUGUCACAAAGGAGGGGGGGUGUUCGCAAUAAACUAAUGAAGGACUGGAAUCUCUUGAACUUUCCUUUCCUUACAUGGUCAGGGUCAGGCAAGAAUAAGCAAGCAGCAAGCAGAAGUGAAUUAUUGUGGCUGCUGUCCGGUAUUGUUAAGGAGGUGUGGGGUGUGCGGCUGUGUAGAACGGCUCCAGAUGUUGUAGCUAUAAGAUUGCGUUGAGCUAGUUGGGGUGAUUGGAAAGACCAAGAGGGUGAAGACUCAUUGGUCCCAAGAGGCAUUUGCGCUCAUUCUGAUGUGCAGGUUGCUGUAGAGGGGGAGAUCAGGCCCAACUGAAAUACCAACGUGCCUUUGUACAGGGGAAGAAAUUAUAAUGCAAGGGAUUUUCGUUUUUAAAAACUGGCUGAAAUAAAGCUACCAGUAGGAUGAUGGUGUUUCAUUAAUUAAGUGAACAGACAUUAUUCUUAUGGGGGAGAUUGACAACACCUUUCAGACUCUCUGACUGACCAACACUUAUAUUUUUGUAUUUCAAAUAAUGUUCCCAUUUUUCAAAUCAACAAGCAAAGAGUCUGCUGAUAACCUGGCACCUUUGCAGGGCUCAGAGGAUUUCAGGCCCAGAGGGGGAGAGGAUUGGGUAUAAAUGGGUGAGAUUUAUUAAACUAAGGCUCUGUUUAAUUUGAGCCAUUGUCGACCUGGGCUGGUGGGUAGAGGGGUUUGGUGAGUUAAGACAUAAUUACAUCAAUUUGAAUGAGAUUGUAUAUAGAGGAUGGAUAGAGGGUGGUCAAAUAACAGUCUCAACCAGUCAACAUCAAACCCUGACCCUCGUGUGAAGCUAGGAGCUAUGAAAGCGGCUGCUUUGGGGUUAUCUGUAGUUACGUGUUUCUUUUUGAGAAAUAAUGAAACUUGUUCGUUCCCUGGGAAGAUCCAGUCAGCUGUUAUGUGAUAUUACUCGGGGGAGUUUGACUCUUUCCAUCCAGACCCAACUGUUACAGGAAAUAAGACAUGGCUUGGCACUCUGCUGCGACUUCUACAGGAGAGGUAGCAGUAAACAAAGAGUCUUGUCUUCACCUUCGGGGUGUCAUUGUAUUCCUGAUAGUAUGGAUGAGUCGUGUGUUGUUUUCAUUGACUAGCGGAAAAGAUUGCUUUUAAAUAGAUGGCCUUCCCAAUUACAUGUAAAUAACGCUUUGGGAGGAGACUCCUGCAGGUGUCUCAAUCUACUUUUGAACCGCCGGUGUCCUGAUAAGGUUCCUGGCCUGGAGAAUCAUCGUCAUCACCAGAGGUGCUGCAGACAGGCGCAUGAUUUACAUACAUUGAGACACCUUGCAGGAAUCUCUCUCAAAGUAUUGUUCAACUGAAAUUAGUCAGAACAUGAGUGGCACCACUCCUGUGCAAGUUGCUGGAACCAUAUUACCCAAAGUAGAUCACUUCAUGGACUACUGAAUUCCUCGAACAGAACUUGAACGCUCUUGUCUUUGCAUCAAAUUCCUCUCUGUUCCUUUAAUCCUGUCGGCUCUCAGCCCCGCAUCAUACAUAUUGCAAAUCCCGAGAGAGUAUUGGUUCAAAUCAUGAUAUUAACGCGAACAAUGUUUUGUACAGUUCAUGUUUCUUUAAUCAAAUGUUUGUAUAUUUAAAUCAUUAUGGUCAUUCUGAUGAAAUCUCCACAUCUACUUCUCACCCAUAACUUUGUAAUUUUUGCAAUGUUAACAUUUCCCAAAUAUUGAAGGUUUGCACAGACAUAUUAUGUAUUACAGCCAUGUGUGUGUGUGUGUGUGUGUGUGUAUGUAUGUCUCUGUCUGAAGGAGGACUGGACAAAGCUUUGAACAGUAACAAUGACAACGUGUCAACUGCACGAAAAAUGCAGCCCUAAGUUUGUCAAUUUUCUCUCCUUUGCACCCCAGCUUUCUCACCCAUCCUUGGCGUUCUCCCCUUUCCCCUCUACCACCCAACCUCUUUCUCAUUCCACUUCCCCAUCCUCUGCCUUCCAUCUCUUGCCCCCUCCACUUUUCCUCUUCCUCCAUCUCCCCUUUUCCCCCUCAAAUUUAGAGCGUGGAGGAGAGCAAAGACAAGCUGGCAGUUCUGAGCCUUGCUCUGCGUUGGGCCAGGAAUGAUCAGAAUCCAUGUGAUCGCAUUGAGGUGGAAGUCAUCGCCCUUACUGACAGCAAAUGAUGGCCAGACCGCUGGUGUGCAGCUGACACUGAGCUGUGAGCUCAGGCUCACGAACCUUACCCACCUGGUUUACCCACUGCUGCCAUGUCAACAUUUGAUCAGUGCAUCUUCUCACUAAUGGAAUUUAAAAUUUCUCCCCUGUGCUCCUUGCCACCACAACACUUAGGGAAGGAAGUUGUAGAAAUGCAGUUUUGUUUUGUUUCUUUGGAAAAAUUAUCUGUAAGGAUAAAUGCUGCUGUCCAACCAGAUGUCACAGGUGUGAGCAAAAUUGCCAGUUACUGACUGGUUGCUCACUGCUUCCAGUCACUGGCAGCUUGUCUGAUAUGACAGCAGCUUCUGUCCAAGCAGAGGCUAUGCCUCUUCAGUCAGGGAUACUGCCCUUGCAGUGAGACCUGAGCCCAAGCACUUGGCCGAUUGUUACCCCCUCAAUCGGUGGGCCAGAUAGAAGGACUGUUCGGAGAUCUUCCUCCUGCAAUCUACCGCUGUGUGUUCAUUGGCUCUGGAAGAGGAGAUUGCUUCGCUGGUGAGAUUGGAUCUUUCACCCUCCACGUCUAGACUUGCCCAUGAGAACAAGUCUGGACCUGGCGGGUCGUAGUACUGACCUGACGGCCAAUAAUCAUAGCCAGCUCCGUGGAUAGAGUGGUGGAGAGAAGCAGUUGUGGAGGGAGACAGAGGAAAACGUGGUCCGGGCACAGACAAAGUUACAGUGAGGUACAGCUGUCUCAGCCCAUGGGCACCUGAAUCGAUUGCCUGUGGUGAGUGUUGGUUGGAAGGGUUGAGUUGUGGGUACGAAUGUAGAAACAUGUAUCCAUGGUAAGGAUUGAUAUAUUUUAUAUAAAUAAAUGUAGAUUAGUUAAAGAAUGUUUUUAUAGAAUCAGAUGGCUGAUAUUUCUCUUACGACAUAAACACAAGUUACCCUGUGAGGAGGGUAUUUAUAUUACCUGGCCUGUCAGAUGGGAGAUCACACUUUUUGCUGAUGUGACCAUAGUCAAGGCACAUUGACGAGUACUCCUACACUACACAGUAUGAAUGUCAUAAGGGGAUACCCCGGUCAGGGAACAGACGGAGCAGCACCUCCACCCUGCCUGGAUCUUCCCUCACUCAACACCUCGCUGUUCAUCGACCAUCAGCUCCAGUUUGCCAUCCUCCCCGAGACAUGACUCGUCUGAGCUGGGGAGGGCCAGAGCACUGCGAGACCUCGCCCAGGCUUGCCAUGGCUCCAGAGGGAACGGUGGGGUGGUGUGGAGAUGUGACCAAGCUUUUGCAGUCCUAUUAGUGAAAGUGAAGGGGGUCUGGUUGAGGUCAGGGCUGUGCUUUCAGUGCAGUGGCGUCCACUUGUGUUCGAAGCUAUGUUAAUGACACUUUAAACCAUGCAGCCAGGGUCUGUUUUAUUAUCCCCUCCCUGCCCACCCCUCCAGUGAUUUGUAACCUGCCAACCCCACCCUUCAUUUACACUUUUUGCCAUUCUAUGUCUGACUAUUUCUUUCUCUUCUGUCUCUGCUCAGCUCCCCUUCCUCGUUAUACUUGCUGUGACCGAGGUGAAUGACCCAGUGAAUUUUGUCUUGGAGUCUAGGAAAGUCCCUGUGUUGCCUUUGGUUGGUAAUCAGCCUCAGCAGACCUAGCUCCUGAAUAACACCAGGCAGAGCUCUGGUCCCGUCUCCUGGAAGGUGUGUAUCUGGGACAGGGCUAACUGACCCUGGCUCGUCACCCACAGGCUGUACUGCCUGAGGAACAGCUGCAGCAAAGGUUGAUCCUGGCUGUGAGGGACUCUGGCUCUGGCCAUUCUCAAAUUUAACAUCAUGCUGCAGGCUGAAACUGGCUGGGGGUUCAGCGGAAGAUUUUGUGCUUUUGCUCUAGGCUUCUAACGAGACUAGGGACUUGUCUAUUUCAGGCAGCAGUAAACUGGACACAAUAGAUUCACCUGUUAAUAUUUAAGUUCAAUCAUCUUACACUGUGUGCUACGCAAUAAUAUUUAUGGAGGCAACUGGGCAGUAACUCUCAUGCCUUACAACCUGCAUCCCAGAAGUAUGUCUACCAGAAUCAUUAGAUAUCACAUUAAUUAUUGUUUCCGGCCCUUCUGUUUAUUUUCUGUACAGACAAUUCAAAGUGUUCUUAGACUGAGACAAUGUUUUAAUAGCUACCUACAUCAUGUAUCUGGUGAACCAGUUUCUAUGUAAUUAUGUUCCUUUAAGAAUUAUGGCAGGUUUGUUAACACGUAAUUUGUGUUUUAGCAUCACUGAACCUUUACAAUAGUUUAUAGAUGUCUAGAUGUUUGAGAUGUAAAGGAGUUCCCUACUUCAGUGACGAUGCCGCUGUGAAGCAGGGAUAGGUUGGUUUGUAAAUAUGAAUCUAUGUAAACAGAGCCUGCCUGUCGCUGUGUUUUUAGCUUUCUAUUACAUUUGGAUUAACUUUUUUGUUUUUUAUUCUAUAUAUCAGGGAAUUUUUAAAAUAAAUUCACAAAAUCUAAACUUUUAA